GGCGAACGGGUGAGUAACACGUAAGCAACCUACCCUAAAGACGAGGAUAACCAUUGGAAACAGUGGCUAAGACUGGAUAGGAAGAAAUAAGGCAUCUAUUUCUUUUAAAAGACCUAGUAAUAGGUAUACUUUAGGAGGGGCUUGCGCCAUAUUAGUUAGUUGGUAGGGUAUGGCCUACCAAGACGAUGAUGUGUAGCUGGACUGAGAGGUUGAACAGCCACAUUGGGACUGAGACACGGCCCAAACUCCUACGGGAGGCAGCAGUAAGGAAUUUUCGGCAAUGGAGGAAACUCUGACCGAGCAACGCCGCGUGAACGACGAGUACUUUGGUAUGUAAAGUUCUUUUAUCAAGGAAGAAAAGCAAGUGGCGAACCAUUUGUUUGCCGGUACUUGAUGAAUAAGCCCCGGCUAAUUAUGUGCCAGCAGCCGCGGUAAGACAUAAGGGGCAAGUGUUAUCCGGAAUUAUUGGGCGUAAAGGGUGCGUAGGCGGUCUAGUAAGUCAGUGGUGUAAUGGCAACGCUCAACGUUGUCCGGCUAUUGAAACUGCUAAACUUGAGUUAGAUAGAGGCGAGUGGAAUUCCAUGUGUAGCGGUAAAAUGCGUAAAUAUAUGGAGGAACA
RNAcentral lists this ribosomal RNA (619 nucleotides) under 'Sesamum indicum' witches'-broom phytoplasma. Its description in RNAcentral is "bacterial SSU rRNA". It matches the Rfam family "Bacterial small subunit ribosomal RNA", at positions 97 to 708 of the family's 1533-position model. The record is from RNAcentral. Lineage: Bacteria; Bacillati; Mycoplasmatota; Mollicutes; Acholeplasmatales; Acholeplasmataceae.